RNAcentral lists this ribosomal RNA (381 nucleotides) under uncultured bacterium. Its description in RNAcentral is "bacterial SSU rRNA". It matches the Rfam family "Bacterial small subunit ribosomal RNA", at positions 29 to 410 of the family's 1533-position model. The record is from RNAcentral.
AUUAACGCUAGCGGCAGGCCUAAUACAUGCAAGUUGUACGGGAUUAUUGGUAGCAAUACUGAUAUGAGAGUAGCGCACGGGUGCGUAACACGUAUGCAACCUACCUUUAACUGGGGAAUAGCUCACCGAAAGGUGAAUUAAUACCGCAUAAAAUCACAGAAGGACAUCCUUUAAUGAUUAAAUCUCCGGAGGUUAAAGAUGGGCAUGCGUCCGAUUAGCUAGUUGGCGGGGUAACAGCCCACCAAGGCAACGAUCGGUAGGGGUCUGAGAGGAUGAUCCCCACACUGGUACUGAGACACGGACCAGACUCCUACGGGAGGCAGCAGUAAGGAAUAUUGGACAAUGGGGACAACCUGAUCCAGCCAUGCCGCGUAGAAGGAU